RNAcentral lists this ribosomal RNA (253 nucleotides) under Acidobacterium sp. Its description in RNAcentral is "partial 16S ribosomal RNA". It matches the Rfam family "Bacterial small subunit ribosomal RNA", at positions 524 to 776 of the family's 1533-position model. RNAcentral also lists the same sequence under 1 other name. Lineage: Bacteria; Pseudomonadati; Acidobacteriota; Terriglobia; Terriglobales; Acidobacteriaceae. The record is from RNAcentral.
UACAGAGGUGGCAAGCGUUGUUCGGAAUUACUGGGCGUAAAGGGCGCGUAGGCGGUUCGACAAGUCCCGCGUGAAAGCCCCCGGCUCAACUGGGGAACGGCGCGGGAAACUGUCGGGCUUGAGUUCGGGAGAGGGAAGCGGAAUUCCGGGUGUAGCGGUGAAAUGCGUAGAUAUCCGGAGGAACACCGGUGGCGAAGGCGGCUUCCUGGACCGACACUGACGCUGAGGCGCGAAAGCUAGGGGAGCAAACGGG